Molecule: transfer RNA, 74 nt
Filed under: Clostridia bacterium
Lineage: Bacteria; Bacillati; Bacillota; Clostridia
Description: tRNA-OTHER
Rfam family: tRNA
About the family: Transfer RNA (tRNA) molecules are approximately 80 nucleotides in length.
Source: RNAcentral
GAGACAUUAGCACAAAUGGUAGUGUUUCGGUACCAUUAGAACCGAAGGUAUGGGUUCAAUUCCCAUAUGUCUCC